CUAAGGAGUUUAUUGUAUGCUAAGAGAAUGGAUAUCAAAAAACAACUUUCUUAAAAUUAAAAAUUGAAAUUUUUUUAAUUUGUGUAAAAACAAUUAUAAAAAUUAAAGACAAGAAGACCCUAAGAAUUUUUAAAAUUUAAAUUAUACAUUUUUUGUUUUAAUUAAUUUUAACUGGGGCGGUUAAGAAAUAUUAAAAACUUUUUUAAUUAAAAAUGACCCAUUAUUAAUGAAAAUAUGAUGUAAUCUCUAGGGAUAACAGCGUUAUAUUUUUUGAUAGAUCAUAUUGACAAAAAAGUGUUGCGACCUCGAUGUUGGAUAUAGAAACUUUUUUAAUGAAGAUAGUACAAGAUACAGCAGGUUUGUUCAACUUUUAAAUCCUAAAUUAUUUCAUUUCAGAUCAA
RNAcentral lists this ribosomal RNA (401 nucleotides) under Rhipicephalus microplus (southern cattle tick). RNAcentral describes it as "partial 16S ribosomal RNA". The record is from RNAcentral. Lineage: Eukaryota; Metazoa; Arthropoda; Arachnida; Ixodida; Ixodidae.